Molecule: ribosomal RNA, 437 nt
Filed under: uncultured bacterium
Lineage: Bacteria
Description: partial 16S ribosomal RNA
Rfam family: Bacterial small subunit ribosomal RNA
Source: RNAcentral
AGCGAACACUGGCGGCAGGCUUAACACAUGCAAGUCGAGCGGGCAUCCUUGUGGUGUCAGCGGCAGACGGGUGAGUAACGCGUGGGAACGUGCCCUUCGGUUCGGAAUAACUCAGGGAAACUUGAGCUAAUACCGGAUACGUGCGAGAGCAGAAAGGUUUAUCUGCCGAAGGAUCGGCCCGCGUCUGAUUAGCUAGUUGGUGAGGUUAUGGCUCACCAAGGCGACGAUCAGUAGCUGGUCUGAGAGGAUGAUCAGCCACACUGGGACUGAGACACGGCCCAGACUCCUACGGGAGGCAGCAGUGGGGAAUAUUGGACAAUGGGGGCAACCCUGAUCCAGCCAUGCCGCGUGAGUGAUGACGGCCUUAGGGUUGUAAAGCUCUUUUCUCCGGGACGAUAAUGACGGUACCGGAGGAAUAAGCCCCGGCUAACUUCGUG